CGAGAAGCUGACUUUAAUCUUUUGCUUUGUCUCAAAGCCUAUAUUAGAUUAACCUCUUUUUUUUUCAUUUGGGAAUGACUGUUUAGCCAGCAGCAAUUAAAUUUUAAAAUUAAACUCUGCACAGUAUAUUUUCUAAAGACCCCUAGGCACUGUGGGCAGUAUUAGAGACUCUCCUGUAGAACCUCACUUCUUGCUGUGUCGUGGUUGCCAGGAAGAUGAAAUGUGUUUUAGACCACAUCAACUUGAAUAACAUACUGGGAGCUAUAAAUCUAUUCUUCUGUCCCUUCAGGGUGAGAUUUCAUUUUAGAAUCAGGACAAGAAAUUUUCACAGCCUAGAGGACAAAGGAAUUUGGUAUGAAAUACUGCUGAUUAUUGUAGAAUUUAGGACUACAAAGGUCCAAGUAUAUGAUUUAACUCCUUCAUUUUAAUGAUUAGGAAAACGAGAUGCCAAUUUAACAAUCCGUGACGCCUGCAGGUUUAUACAGCUCAGGUUUGUACUCUCUGUUAGUAUUUUCUCUAAUGUGCAAUUCUCUGAAUAUGGGCACUGGAAUGUUUGAUCUGGUUUCCUUCAGCAUGUUCUGAAUUUCAAUUGCUUUUCUCACAAAGUGACCCCCACCCCCAAUCCCUGAACAGCAAGUGUCUCCCAAUACCACAGUUCAUUCCUUUCUGAUUUCUGUUUUUUUUUUUUUCUUCUAUCUUCCUUUUUCUCCUACCUUUUACUUUGUUGCUUUUUGGUAGCUUUUACUUACUGAAAGUGCUGAUAUUUCUGCUUGCUGGAGAAUGAGCACAUUCCUGGAUUGGGGCUUCUGAUUCUGCCUUUUCCAGUCUGUUCUAGGGAUCUACCUACAUCUCACAGUCUUGGCCUCUUCUCUCUUGGUUGUUGGCCUAAGAGAACAAGGCUCCCUAACUCUAGCUGCUAACAGAUACCAAUAAAAGAAGUAGAAGAUGGUGCCCUGUGUUCUAUAUGGAUUUAGAUAAAAUAUGCUUUUUUUUUUUUAACACAUGAAGUGGUUUCAAAAAGCAAGUGGUUCUGUCUAAGAAAGCAAAGGCCUAAAUGAUAUUGAAGACAGUGGCUUGUAUUCCUAUUGUUCUUCCCUGCAUGCAAAACUCCUUCAAUUUUAUCAGCUGAUUCUGUCAUCAUGGUGCUGGGAGAUAAGUUAGAUUCAUAUUAUUUUUACCGUUUUAUAUGGGAGCAAAGGCUAGAGUAACUUAACUGAUGUGCUCAAGGACCUCACACCAGGAGAGAUGAAAUAAGCUUCCAAACCUGUGUUUUAGGACACUGAGCCCUGGACUGUACUGUUUCUCUGGAAUAUAGUCUGAUCAGGGGGCAAGACAAUGGGCACCCCACUGCCAGGUUGAAUAAAGUAAUUAAAUUAUCACAAAGCUUUUGGUACACACAAGGGGAAAGCAAAUGUUGACAGAUAAUAAAACAUGGGACUAGUUUGCUAUGGGAGAUUGUGUAACCUCUCCUUAGCUGAGGGUUUACCUGAAGGGACAGGUUUGUGGUUAUUCUCUAAAGCAUUCCAAAGCCAGAAGACAAUCUAGCAAUAUGAAUCAAUGACAUGACUAAUGGUAAUCUCAGACAAAUUACUCAGCAUCUCCAAAGUCAUUUUUCUUGUCUGUAAAUAAUAGGCAGGGAGGAUUAAAUAGUGUUUUGUAAAGAGUCUGGAACAGAAUGAAGGUAAUAAAUAUUGCCAAUGUUUUAAGGAUAACAAUGAUAAUAUAUUCCUUUGUAAGAGGAAAUAACAAGAUAAAUAUUUAGUGACAAAGAUACUUUUUACUGUUUUUGUAAGUAACAGAGAAAAGUUGGAAACAACCUGAAGCCCAGCAACAGAGAAUUGUAGAAAAGGGUCUGUUUGUAUAUCUUGGUGCAAUCUAGUUUAUUAGACAAUCAUUUAAAAGGACAUAGAAUAUGUUAUUAUGCAGUAAGAUGUUCAUGAUUUUUUACAUUUAAAAAAUCAGCUACAAAAUAUUCAGUAGAAUGUGCUUUUUAAUUAAAGUACAUGUGCGUGUGUACACAUACGUGUAUGUUUGUAUGCAUAGUUAUAGGUAUAGGUAAAAAUCUGGAUGUGUUGACAUAACUAUGUUAACCAUCAUUAACCCUAGGGAGAGAAUAAUGAAUGCUUUUUAUUUUCUUAUUUUUCCUUAUAUGCACUUAGUUUUUUUCAACAACAAACAUGUACUUCAAGUAAAAUAAAACUGUAUUUAUUUUUAAAAUUUCAGGUUUUCAUUCCUCCCUUCCUUUUCCUCGGUUUAGCAGAGCUGUGCUGCAGGGCAUUAGGAACAGACAGUAUUUACUAAAUGGUUAACAAGCAUUUUUUUGAGUGUCUUCUGCAGCCCAAGCCUCGUUCUGGAAGCUGAAUGUAAACAUAUAAGCAAGAUGUGCCAUGCUGUCCCCUGAGAGCUUGCAUUUGGUGGAGGGAAAACUCCCAACAUAUACACGAAGAAGGAAGAGUAGAUUCCAUCUCAAGAUGAGGUGGGAGUUUCUGGGAGUGCUAACCUUCCUGGCAACAUUCACACCCUAUUCCUCCAAGGACCCUGUGGUCUGAGAUCCAAUGUCAUUUGUUUUAAUAAAGCCGUCUUAUCUUGUAACAUGCACAGUCUGCUUAGAGGUAACAUGCUGUGUCAAUAUUGAUAAUGUAGACGUUGGUAUGAGUCAUUUCCUGAGAGCAGAGUAUUUGCCCUUGAAGGGAAGAGGGCUGGGAGUGAAAGCACUUUAAAGAAGAAACAGGCAG
Molecule: long non-coding RNA, 2735 nt
Filed under: Marmota monax (woodchuck)
Lineage: Eukaryota; Metazoa; Chordata; Mammalia; Rodentia; Sciuridae
Source: RNAcentral